RNAcentral lists this long non-coding RNA (428 nucleotides) under Prunus dulcis (almond). Its description in RNAcentral is "sRNA ncRNA". The record is from RNAcentral. Lineage: Eukaryota; Viridiplantae; Streptophyta; Magnoliopsida; Rosales; Rosaceae.
CCCACAUCGACCAAACGGAGAGGGGGUGAUGUGCCUUAUAUGGCACACCUCGCAUCCUCAUAGCACGAGGCCUUUUGGGAGCUCACUGGCUUCGGAGUUGUAAGAACUCCAAAGUUAAGCGAGUUGGAGGCUGGAGCAAUCCCAGGAUGGGUGACCACCCUGGGAAGUUGCUUCGUGAGCUCCCAGAAACAAAACCGUGCGGGCUGGUGAGAAUGUAGCCAGGCCCAAAGCGGACAAUAUCGUGCUACGGCGGAGCCGGUCCGGGGUGUGACAGUUUGGUAUCAGAGCCACUCUGCCGUGUGGUGCGAGUGUGCCGACGAGGACGUCGGAUCCCUUAAGGGGGGUGGAUUGUGAGAUCCCACAUCGACCAAACGGAGAGGGGGUGAUGUGCCUUAUAUGGCACACCUCGCAUCCUCAUAGUAGGAGGC